GUGUGACUUCCCUAACCCUUUUCUUCCUCCAAAGCCCAACCCACCCCCACCCCCUCGCUCUCUCUCUCUCUCUCUCUCUCUCUCUCACACACACACACACACAUAUCCACACACACACACGAGAACCUGGUUCAAUGGCCCCAAAAUUAGAUCUCAGUCAUGUUUAUAUUUCUUCGUUUAAACUGACAGCCUGUGCUGAAUUCAUUUCGUUUUUUGACAAUUUAUACACUCUUCUUUCUCAUUCAAAGAUGUUGAUUCGGAGAGUCGCAAUCAGUGCUUAUUUAAGUUCUUUCUUGGUCGAUUAUUAUAGCUGAUCCAGCAGAAAAAAGAUAAGAUCAGUUGAUGCUAGAAUCUGAGCCGAUAGUUUCUUGCAUAAAAUCCAGGGAAUCACGAGCACCUGCUUUUGAUUUUUCUUGCCAUUUUUUCUUCACCUUUUUCGGUGAUUUGAAAUAUUCAAUUCCAUUUGAAGGGAAAAAUAACAAAAAAGAAAAUAGAGGUUUUCUUUUCUUUUCUUUCUUUCUUUCUUUUUUUUUUUUGGUAUCUCGUGUAGUUUGAAAAUGAGUUUGAAUACUUGAGGUUACUCUUAGUUACAUCAUCAAGUCAUUGCUCUACAUUUUGCCCAUUAGAAAUAAACCACAUCAGCCUCAAGCUCGUGGCUUUCUUUGAUUGUUCUGAUUCCAAUAUGCACAUAAAUCUCAGUGUUUAAUCUCUAAACCACAUACCCCUAGCACUUUUUGAUCCCUAAUUUGUUAUAGGUUUUCUCUCUGCAAGUCUUGGUGAUUUUAUGCAUGGAUCUAUACGUGUACACAGUCGUUGAUUUCUGGUGUAGCACCAUCAAGAUUCACAUAUAAAGGCAAGAUGGUAAACUGAUAUAGUCUCUCUCUCUCUCUACCAAAGCUUUUGAUGGUGAGAAUCUUGAUGAUGCUGCAUCGGCAAUAAACGACUAGCAAAUCAAUAGAAAAAGUCGGUCACAGGUGUGUCUCCUUUUUCAGUUAUUUGAUCAAGAUUCAAGAGGGUUAAACUCACUGUUUUCCAGUUCUUUUUAUGAUUCUCUGUCAGGUGGGAUUUUUGGUGUUUUCCAGGACUAAAAUAUUACUUUUACUGUUUUAUUUUCUCUUUGUUUUCUGUCAGCUGUAUCAAGAACAGACUAAAGUGACUACACUCUGCUGAUGAAAUACUCUGAUCGAGUACUGCAUAGAUCUGUGAUUAUUCUUCCGUGCAGAAAAAAGUCUCUAUAAUAGAGAUGGGAUGUAAAUGUAAUCAAGGGUCCAGAACUUGGGAGAGAGAAUAAUUACCAUAAAGUGGAAAUUGUUGGAUUCAUUUUUGCUUAUUUAUUUUUAACAUAUAACAUUCACCUGAUUUAUAUGCUUAUCAGACCUUGUUUAUGACUGUUUUCAGAAAUUAAUGCAUAUGCAAAUUGAAUGGUCAGCUUUGGACAAGAAUUUGCUGCGACAGCCAAUCAAUAAAAAGAGGUAAAGAAAAGAAAGUUUAUUAAAUGUUGUAUUUGCUUAUAGAAUAUAACUAAUGUAUUAAAUCAAUAUCACAUAGAAGUUUGGUUAUGUGUUUUUGUUUGUCUUUUAUAGAGGAGAUUCAAGAUAUAAAUGAUUAUUUUAUGGACAUUCUUAGUUAUAAGUGGAUUUUUUGUCUGUUCAAGUCAUAGUUUUCUUUAAAAAUUGCAACAUAUCUUGGAACUUCUCAGUGCAAAUUGUGGUAGAACUAAACCUGAUAGUAACGUGACUCCAUGGUUAGGUUUAUUGGUUUUAACAUUUGAUCACAAUCAGUCCUUUAGGUGGACCUUCUUGAGAAACAUCUAAGCAACUUGACCUAUUGAUAUGUACUCUCUCUCCGAACAUAGCCACCACUUAAUGGUAAUAUCCUCACAAGUUUGUCGAAGUAGCUUGGUUUUCCCUCGACCUAUGCAAUUGAUUAUGUUGAUAAUUUGAAUAAUUCAAUUAAAUAGAGAUUGUUAGAUGCACGUGUGUGGGAACAAUCUUUUUUUUUUUUUUUUAUGCGUGUUUGAAUAGAGAUCGAUGGUCUUCAUAGUCUUGGAUGUGUGAAGGGGUGCUAUAUAUGAGCCGAUGACAUAACUUGGCCUGAUGCAAUAGAAAGGCUUGUAAUCCAAGUGAAUUUUGUGCUUCAAAAGCUUACUUUGGAGGAAUUGAAUGACUUUGCCUAGAUUUGAUCACCAUUUUAUGUGGAUGGCCAAUGAUAUUAAUGUAGAUGAGGUACAAUGAAAUUAACAUUUGCUAAGUCAGCCAUUUAAUAUUUCUGAUUUCCAUGGAAAAAAUUUAGCCCUUGUUUGAGCCUCGUUCUUGUCAAAAAAUACAUUUUUGAAUAGUGUAUCGAUGGAUAAUGUGUGGUUAAAAAAUAAAAAUAAAAAUAAAAAGUUAUGAAUUUGCGUAUAAUAUUAUUUUAUUGAAGAAUGUGUGGUUGAAGCGGGGUCAACUAACUAUUGAAAAAUGUAUUUUGAUGGAAAAACAGGACUUAAAAGGAUUUUUGUAGUCAACCCGAAAUCUAUCAUGAACAAAGCUUGGUUCAUGUUGUUGUAGUUAUUGAGGUGCCAUUUGACCAUUCGAGUCCUUACCAGUAGUUCUCUCUUCUACUUUAUGUGUUGUCAAUCCAAAUUCUAUCCUGCUUACAGAUUUUCCGUCCAUAAUCGAAAUGUCGAAGCUAAUGUAGAGAAUAUUGCACUCUAGUCUACAUUUGCAUCAAUAAUAUUUGAUCAAUUAAAUAUAGUCCUGUACUACCUCAAAAUUUCUGCAAUUCUGUACCAGCAGAAUUGCAUUUCACAUAACGCUAACAAAAUAAGACACGAUAGGGGGUUGGGUGAUUGGCCUUUUUUUUAUUUUUUUAUUUUUUUUUAUUUUUUUUUAUCACAAUAUGGGACCUGCACAAUGUGAGAUUUCUAGUGCACUUUUGUAGAACAGUUUUAUGUACAAAUGGAAUAAGUGUCAGAAUUUUGUGUUUUGCUUCAGAAACUCAAUCAAUCUCUCCCUCCCCCCCCCCCCCCCCCCCCCCUCGCGGGGGGAAGCAGUGGUUUGUUAAUUAUCUGUAUAACUUGCUACUAUUUACAUUCCAAAUAAACCUUUUGAUUAUUUUUUCCCUUUCUGUAUAGAUAAAAGAAAUCCCUUUCCCCACGUUGCUUUAAUAUAAGGAUUUGCUACCCUUAUGUUUUUUUUUUUAAAAACUCGUAAAUUUCCUUUUUUCUUUCUACCUUGAUCACAGAUUGUCAUGUGCAAUCUAACAUACCAAACACGCCUUGAAAUUAAUCGAGGAAAAAGAUAUACUUCAAUAUGGCUCCAACUAUUCUUUGCUGCACUUGUCUCAAAAUCUAUGAUGAUUAUAUCGAAUGAAAUGUUAGACAAUUCCUAUUUAAUUUCAUGUUUAAAUAAGACACUGCCAGCAACUGAAAAUCAACAUAUUUUCAACGUCUUAUAUUGAUCUUCAUUAUAUAAAUCCUCAGAGAAUGUGAGUAAAAAUAGUUUAUAGUUAACAAUGUUGUGUUUGCAUUUAGUUUAUUUAUUUAUUUUUUCAUGAUUUUCCUCUGUACUGACACGACCCGUCUGGAAUCAUCCUAAUGGACUCGACACGUGUUGUACGUCUAUGGUAGAUAGCAGUUAAGUGCCGGACCCAUCACCAAGACAACUUUAACCUACUUUGACGAUUUUUUAAAAGAAUUUUGAUAGAGUUUCCUCUAAAAUAUAGCCUAAAAUCACCUGAACAAUAAUCAACUUUCUCAAAUCUAUACAUAUAAUUUAAAAUAGGGUGCACAAUCCUCUCAAAACUCAAAUUAUUCAUUAUAGAUGGCAAAUAUCAGCUAAUUGUCGGACCACCAAUGCAACUUUACCUACUUUGAUUGUGAAGAAUUUUUAAAAGAAUUUUGACAGAGUUUUCUUCAAAACAUAGCUUAAAACCACCUAAAAAAUAAUCAACUUAUCAAAUAAGUAACUUUAAAUUUUUAUCCAUCUUAAGCUCUCAAAAUAUUUUUUAUCAUAAAAUAAUCCCAAUAAAAUAAUUUGGUCAAUUCAAGUCCCAAUAAAAUGACUUUGAUGAGUCAACCUUUGAUUUUUUACCAGAAAAAAAUUGGGUUGUAACAUGUACGGUCAUGAAUUUAUUUACAUGGUUGUACAGAACUUCGUGGACCAAAGACAAAGAGGAGCACUAGUCUUUUAUAUGACAGUACAUGCAAGAUUUUUGCAAGCUUAUGAGGUGUGAGGCCCUCUGAUCCCUUGACGGGAUCAUUCUCUAUAUCUCCCCUGUCUGUAAAUUUACUUUUCUAUUUUCACACUGUAAAAGGCUAUUUAUAACUACUGCUCUUUACCAUCUUCGUUAGGGGCGGAGCUAGAAAAUUAAGUCGAGAUGCGCUAAAUAAUAUUUUGAGCUCGGCUAAUAUUAAAGAAUUUCACAUAAAUUUUUCUACAGCUUAAGAAUAUGGACCGUAAGCUCACAAACAUUGGGUUAAGCCAGGGAUCUGAUGGCGACAGCAAAAAGAAUCCACUGAAGGCAUAGCGAAAACGAGUCAAUUCCUCGAACGUAAACAUGGGUGUAUAUAAUUAACCAAUUUUACAUGAUGUGAAAAGUUUUUUCUCGAGUCUGAGUCUCUCCGAUGCCCUAACAUAUGGGUAAAAAGGAGUGAUGGUACCAAGUUGCUGACAGAUUUAAAAGCAUGCAGCCAGUUGGCAUGGGAAAC
RNAcentral lists this long non-coding RNA (4690 nucleotides) under Olea europaea subsp. europaea. The stretch from base 814 to 940 matches the Rfam family "mir-172 microRNA precursor family". The record is from RNAcentral. Lineage: Eukaryota; Viridiplantae; Streptophyta; Magnoliopsida; Lamiales; Oleaceae.